CAACUUUCAACAACGGAUCUCUUGGUUCUGGCAUCGAUGAAGAACGCAGCGAAAUGCGAUAAGUAGUGCGAAUUGCAGAAUUCAGUGAAUCAUCGAAUCUUUGAACGCACAUUGCGCCCUUUGGUAUUCCAAAGGGCAUGCCUGUUCGAGCGUCAUUUGUACCCUCAAGCUUUGCUUGGUGUUGGGCGUCUUUUGUCUCUCCCCCGAGACUCGCCUUA
RNAcentral lists this ribosomal RNA (218 nucleotides) under Pyrenophora graminea. RNAcentral's name for it is "5.8S ribosomal RNA". The stretch from base 2 to 155 matches the Rfam family "5.8S ribosomal RNA". Rfam says of the family: 5.8S ribosomal RNA (5.8S rRNA) is a component of the large subunit of the eukaryotic ribosome. It is transcribed by RNA polymerase I as part of the 45S precursor that also contains 18S and 28S rRNA. The record is from RNAcentral. Lineage: Eukaryota; Fungi; Ascomycota; Dothideomycetes; Pleosporales; Pleosporaceae.